This 419-nucleotide ribosomal RNA is filed under the name Clostridioides difficile. Its description in RNAcentral is "bacterial LSU rRNA". It matches the Rfam family "Bacterial large subunit ribosomal RNA", at positions 1466 to 1895 of the family's 2925-position model. Lineage: Bacteria; Bacillati; Bacillota; Clostridia; Peptostreptococcales; Peptostreptococcaceae. The record is from RNAcentral.
GGGAUGACACAGUAGGAUAAGCUAAGCACACUGUUGGUUAUGUGUGCCCAAGCAUUGAGGCAGUCAAAGUAGGCAAAUCCGCUUUGAUAAUGCUGGGAUGGGAUGGGGAGCGAAAUUUAGUAGCGAAGUAGCUGAUUUCACACUGUCAAGAAAAGUCUCUAUCGAGGUUAAAGGUACCCGUACCGCAAACCGACACAGGUGGGUGAGGAGAGUAUCCUAAGGCCAGCGAGAGAACUGUUGUUAAGGAACUCGGCAAAAUGACCCCGUAACUUAGGGAUAAGGGGUGCCACCAUCAGGUGGCCGCAGAGAAUAGGCCCAAGCGACUGUUUACCAAAAACAUAGGUUUCUGCUAAGUCGCAAGACGAUGUAUAGGAGCUGACGCCUGCCCGGUGCUGGAAGGUUAAGGGGAUCUGUUAGAG